Camelus dromedarius (Arabian camel) is the source of this 2758-nucleotide long non-coding RNA. RefSeq lists it as uncharacterized. Lineage: Eukaryota; Metazoa; Chordata; Mammalia; Artiodactyla; Camelidae. The transcript has 6 exons. The record is from RefSeq and is a predicted model, not a curated record.
UGUAGGCAGCAGCAAUCCCUCAGGUUGAUUUGUGUGGAAAGUGAAUCCUCGCUGGCUAGGCGUUCAGCAGAGGCGCAACAGCCGCCGAGCCAGCCAAUUAUUGCCGGUCCUCCCCUCUAACACAGCUCUCGGUACCUACACAUUCUUCUCUGGGUCGGCCUCCCCCAACCCACUUUCCCGCGAGGACGGAGCUGAGGGGGCGGGGGCUCCCUCCCCGGAGCGUUUCCAAAGCUCGGAGGCAGCUCUAGGGGUGUGACAGUCCACAUGUUUAAGUCUAAUAGAAGGCAAAAAAAAUCACUGGAUAUGAAGGUGGGACACAGACCCAAGCCUGCAUCUACAUUCUCACAUUGAUGAUCUUAGGGCACCACUUUCAGAUAAAAACAUAGACCUGAAUGGCAUCAUCCAGUAUCCAAGGAAACCAUAAGAGAUGUGCCUGAGGUGCAGUACCCUGGAACGUAAUCCACCACGGCCAGGAUGCUGUACGUAGGAGCCUUCUAACCUGCCAUGUCCAGAAGUAUGUGAAAAUCCAGGAUGGAGCUGAAUUAUAUCCUCCUAGUUCAUACCCAGAAGGUCUCUAAGACCACGAUGACAGGAAAAUCUUCAGUGGUUCGAGAGACAAGCUGCUGGAAAUCCUGCACAUUUGUUCUAGAAGGAAGUGAGCUGAUAAGGAGAAUGAUCCCUUCUGAGAGAUCACCUCUUUUAAAAACUUUUAAAGGACUCCAAAUUAAGCCAUGUCCAUUUCUGGGACCCAUUUCCAUAUCCCUAUCACAAAAGCCAAUGUCACUUGCUUAAUGUUAGGUGAUUCCAAAAGCCUUCAUAAAGAGAGAGCAAAGGUGGGGAGGGAGAUAGUGAAUUGUGAGAACCUGUCAAAUAAUGGGACAUCUCUUUCAUUCCAAGCAUCAUGUUCUAUUUCACUUUGUAUUAUGAUUUAAGAAAAAGGAGAGAAAAAUGUGUCUUUUUAAAAAAAGGUAUUUUUUGCUAUUAAUAUUCAGUACUUCAUAUCUGAGUACUGAUCCAUCAUUCAUUACGUCUAGGGUAGAUCACAACCUAAUUUACAAAUUCAAAAGCGUAAGUCAGAUCAACUGCUCAAGGCCAUAUAUUUGCAAGAUAGAAUAUGCACUGAAAAUUUCCUGUCCUUGGACUGGUGUACGAGGCAAUGCUGGUUUUCUGUAAGAAUUUGUUCAUAUCUUAGAUUUAACUCAAUUUUGCUUAUCAGUUGAAAAUGUUUAACUUACAUCCACUUAUGUAAUGUAAAGUGUAAAUUUGAGCAGUGAUCUAGAAAGUUCAGGGCAAAGUAGUUUAAAUCAUUUGGCUCUUCCUAGAGGUUCUGAUUUUUUUCUUAACCUAAAAAAAUAGUUACUUAUGUGAUAGCUUUAGAUCUGAAAUAUAUCUGACACGUUAUUUUUAUUUGUUUGGUUUUCAGAAAUCAUAUCCAUAUUUUCUACUCUGUAGUCUUUAGCAAAAUGAAUCAAAGCCACUCUGUACCCAAAGCUAACACCAGUGUUAUCUUUUUUUUUUUUUUUUAAACAUUGCAGGGCUUUACCUCAAGUGCUAUGCAGUAAAUUUACAGGGAAAGAAAAUUGCUAUUAAAUUAUAACUGAGAGAAGCUGAUUUUAUUUUACAUAGCAAACAAAAAAUUCCUUCAUGAAAGGCUAUAAAACCCAUAUUAUUUACUGGAGAGACCUUUCCUGUCUCCCAGGUAAACACUUACAGUGUGUAGACUUGUGUAAAUACAUAUUUAGGAGUGGCUAAAUAUGGUGAGGUAUUUUUAAAGGCAUAUUUACAAAGCUGAAUACAUAUACUGGCAAUUUGGUAUGUGUGAGCUGUGUAUGCUGCUCUGCUGUCUAUUCAGAAUCCUAGCAGGGCGCGGGUAGGUACACCUUGGAUAUAGGGACCAAGUUUCAAAACAUUCAUCUUUAAUCAAAAUUACUAAAGACAGGUCCUUAAAUCAUUUCAAAAGGGUGAAAAUUUUCAACUAAUGGAGUUUCUCGCCAGUUUGACUUGAGGAAAAUUGUUUCAGAAAUGCAGGCAUCGUUCACAGAAAUAAAUCUCCUUUCUGAACAUCUUUGUGCAUAACAUAACCAUCAUUUUACAUUCAGCUCAGAAUAUUAGCACAUACUCAAAGAUACAGUCCAUGAUGAAUGGAUCAACUAGGAAGCUUUAGUUAAGGCGGAAAAUGCCAUUAAGAUAUUUUUAAAAAUACUUCUGAAACACACGGAAAUGUAGGUGAUAAAAUCUGCCUGUUGUUAAUUCAAUGGCAGGAAGCUUCCUAUGAUAAUGCAGCGAAACUCCGUCUACAGGAUUCACGAUGUCUUUGUGCCGCUGGCUUCUUGGGAAUGUGUUCUCUAUGAGGAAGAGAAAGAGAUAGGAACAGAGAGGUUGUAGGUGCAUGAAAGAACACUAACUGUGCCUCCGCUGUCUGCUGUCCCUCAGAAUGAAUAAGGAUCCCAUUUGCGUAAGAGCCCUUUUAAAGAUGGAGAAGUUCAGAGCUUGGCUAUCUCGGACCUUUUGCUAAGAAGUCUAAACAAUGCUUCUAUUUUAUUUCUAAUGCAAUAUACAGCUAUUUUUAAAUAGUCUCAAUAUCUUGCAAUGGGAUUAUUGAAAAUCUUAUAAUGGUAAGCUAUAUGAGGGACAAAAACCAUUCAGACUAUUCAGGGAAAUAAUUUCUCCAAUAAAAUUUGCACUGAAAUGAGUUUUUUUUUUUUUUAACAUUACAGACAUAUACAUCACAUGUAAAUAUUUUUUCCCAAAGUACAAA